AGACUGCAGGCUGCCCCUACACCCACACUAUGGUGCUCUGUGUGCUCUGUGCAUGUGGCUGAAACUGUCUGUACACCUGUGGCUCUUGUAGGUAAAAGCUGAAAAGAGACGGAUGACUGUUAGCUGGUGCAGAGGAGGCUGCAUUACUGCAAGGUGCACUAAACUUGCAAGUGUUGACACAGAAAAUGGUGCAUGUCAGUUACAGCAG
This is a long non-coding RNA of Xiphias gladius (swordfish), 208 nucleotides long. RefSeq lists it as uncharacterized. The record is from RefSeq and is a predicted model, not a curated record. The transcript is spliced from 3 exons. NCBI's taxonomy places the organism in Eukaryota, Metazoa, Chordata, Actinopteri, Istiophoriformes, Xiphiidae.